GGUUAAGCGACUAAGCGUACACGGUGGAUGCCCUGGCAGUCAGAGGCGAUGAAGGACGUGCUAAUCUGCGAUAAGCGUCGGUAAGGUGAUAUGAACCGUUAUAACCGGCGAUUUCCGAAUGGGGAAACCCAGUGUGAUUCGUCACACUAUCAUUAACUGAAUCCAUAGGUUAAUGAGGCGAACCGGGGGAACUGAAACAUCUAAGUACCCCGAGGAAAAGAAAUCAACCGAGAUUCCCCCAGUAGCGGCGAGCGAACGGGGAGGAGCCCAGAGCCUGAAUCAGUGUGUGUGUUAGUGGAAGCGUCUGGAAAGGCGCGCGAUACAGGGUGACAGCCCCGUACACAAAAAUGCACAUACUGUGAGCUCGAUGAGUAGGGCGGGACACGUGGUAUCCUGUCUGAAUAUGGGGGGACCAUCCUCCAAGGCUAAAUACUCCUGACUGACCGAUAGUGAACCAGUACCGUGAGGGAAAGGCGAAAAGAACCCCGGCGAGGGGAGUGAAAAAGAACCUGAAACCGUGUACGUACAAGCAGUGGGAGCCUCUUAAUGGGGUGACUGCGUACCUUUUGUAUAAUGGGUCAGCGACUUAUAUUCUGUAGCAAGGUUAACCGAAUAGGGGAGCCGAAGGGAAACCGAGUCUUAACUGGGCGUUAAGUUGCAGGGUAUAGACCCGAAACCCGGUGAUCUAGCCAUGGGCAGGUUGAAGGUUGGGUAACACUAACUGGAGGACCGAACCGACUAAUGUUGAAAAAUUAGCGGAUGACUUGUGGCUGGGGGUGAAAGGCCAAUCAAACCGGGAGAUAGCUGGUUCUCCCCGAAAGCUAUUUAGGUAGCGCCUCGUGAAUUCAUCUCCGGGGGUAGAGCACUGUUUCGGCAAGGGGGUCAUCCCGACUUACCAACCCGAUGCAAACUGCGAAUACCGGAGAAUGUUAUCACGGGAGACACACGGCGGGUGCUAACGUCCGUCGUGAAGAGGGAAACAACCCAGACCGCCAGCUAAGGUCCCAAAGUCAUGGUUAAGUGGGAAACGAUGUGGGAAGGCCCAGACAGCCAGGAUGUUGGCUUAGAAGCAGCCAUCAUUUAAAGAAAGCGUAAUAGCUCACUGGUCGAGUCGGCCUGCGCGGAAGAUGUAACGGGGCUAAACCAUG
This 1148-nucleotide ribosomal RNA is filed under the name Escherichia coli. RNAcentral's name for it is "partial 23S ribosomal RNA". It matches the Rfam family "Bacterial large subunit ribosomal RNA", at positions 1 to 1191 of the family's 2925-position model. Lineage: Bacteria; Pseudomonadati; Pseudomonadota; Gammaproteobacteria; Enterobacterales; Enterobacteriaceae. The record is from RNAcentral. RNAcentral also lists the same sequence under 2 other names.